UACGUAGGGUGCGAGCGUUGUCCGGAAUUAUUGGGCGUAAAGAGCUCGUAGGCGGUUUGUCGCGUCUGCCGUGAAAGUCCGGGGCUCAACUCCGGAUCUGCGGUGGGUACGGGCAGACUAGAGUGAUGUAGGGGAGACUGGAAUUCCGGGUGUAGCGGUGGAAUGCGUAGAGAUCCGGAAGAACACCGGUGGCGAAGGCGGCCUGCUGGGCUAUGGCUGACACUGAGGCGCGACAGCGUGGGGAGCAAACAGGG
RNAcentral lists this ribosomal RNA (254 nucleotides) under uncultured bacterium. Its description in RNAcentral is "partial 16S ribosomal RNA". It matches the Rfam family "Bacterial small subunit ribosomal RNA", at positions 524 to 777 of the family's 1533-position model. The record is from RNAcentral.